CCUACGGGAUGCAGCAGUGGGGAAUAUUGGACAAUGGGCGAAAGCCUGAUCCAGCCAUGCCGCGUGUGUGAAGAAGGCCUUCGGGUUGUAAAGCACUUUCAGUGGGGAAGAAAGCCUUGGGGCUAAUACCCUCGAGGAAGGACAUCACCCACAGAAGAAGCACCGGCUAACUCCGUGCCAGCAGCCGCGGUAAUACGGAGGGUGCGAGCGUUAAUCGGAAUUACUGGGCGUAAAGCGCGCGUAGGCGGUCUGAUAAGCCGGUUGUGAAAGCCCCGGGCUCAACCUGGGAAUGGCAUCCGGAACUGUCAGGCUAGAGUGCAGGAGAGGAAGGUAGAAUUCCCGGUGUAGCGGUGAAAUGCGUAGAGAUCGGGAGGAAUACCAGUGGCGAAGGCGGCCUUCUGGACUGACACUGACGCUGAGGUGCGAAAGCGUGGGUAGCAAACAGGAUUAGAUACCCCGGUAGUC
Molecule: ribosomal RNA, 465 nt
Filed under: Vreelandella stevensii
Lineage: Bacteria; Pseudomonadati; Pseudomonadota; Gammaproteobacteria; Oceanospirillales; Halomonadaceae
Description: partial 16S ribosomal RNA
Rfam family: Bacterial small subunit ribosomal RNA
Source: RNAcentral